RNAcentral lists this ribosomal RNA (542 nucleotides) under uncultured archaeon. RNAcentral's name for it is "bacterial SSU rRNA". It matches the Rfam family "Archaeal small subunit ribosomal RNA", at positions 457 to 997 of the family's 1478-position model. The record is from RNAcentral.
GCCAGCCGCCGCGGUAACACCGGCGGCCCGAGUGGUGAUCGUGAUUAUUGGGUCUAAAGGGUCCGUAGCCGGUUUGGUCAGUCCUCCGGGAAAUCUGAUAGCUCAACUAUUAGGCUUUCGGGGGAUACUGCCAGACUUGGAACCGGGAGAGGUAAGAGGUACUACAGGGGUAGGAGUGAAAUCUUGUAAUCCCUGUGGGACCACCUGUGGCGAAGGCGUCUUACCAGAACGGGUUCGACGGUGAGGGACGAAAGCUGGGGGCACGAACCGGAUUAGAUACCCGGGUAGUCCCAGCCGUAAACGAUGCUCGCUAGGUGUCAGGCAUGGCGCGACCGUGUCUGGUGCCGCAGGGAAGCCGUGAAGCGAGCCACCUGGGAAGUACGGCCGCAAGGCUGAAACUUAAAGGAAUUGGCGGGGGAGCACAACAACGGGUGGAAGCCUGCGGUUUAAUUGGACUCAACGCCGGACAACUCACCGGGGGCGACAGCAAUAUGUAGGCCAAGCUGAAGACUUUGCCUGAAUCGCUGAGGGGAGGUGCAUGG